Molecule: long non-coding RNA, 959 nt
Organism: Magallana angulata
Lineage: Eukaryota; Metazoa; Mollusca; Bivalvia; Ostreida; Ostreidae
Exons: 3
Source: RefSeq, a predicted model, not a curated record
UAAUAUUCAAAGAUUUGUUCAUUGCAAACUAAAGGGACUUCGAACGGACGAGCCAAAAGAUGAAAUCAUCAAUUGUUAUCGUCUGUUUGUUGGUUUUGACCAUUCAUCAAGUAGUACAAAGCAAUGUUGACGCCGCUGAUCCUAUCUCUGUCUCUCUCGGUAACUCCUCCACUACACCAGUAACUACAACAACCAUCAAAGCUGUGACUCCGGGGAACAAUGGGGCAGCAAGCGAAGGUGAAACAGGAGACAAACCUGUAACAGGAGACGGAAAUAAGACAGGUGAUGGUAGUGGGACAGGAAGCGGAGGUAAAACAGGCGACGGAAGUAAGACAGGAAGCGGAAGUAAGACAGGAAGCGGAAGUAAGACAGGAAGCGGAAGUGGGACAGGAGGCGGGGCAGAUGCUGUGUCGCUCAACUUUUUUGUGUUUGCCUUGACUGUAUUUUGUGCACAUUUUAUUUAGUUUUUUGAGAACUAACUGACUUUAAAUUAUUGUGACGGCAUAUGAUCAAAUGAUCCUUGGGAGGCAAAUCCAAAUUUAUCUGUUUUGUGAUGCUCUAACAAUUGUACUUUAUCAUUCAUUUUAAAUGAUCUAUUUAUAUAUAUGUUGUAUGCAAGCAAGUUAUUAUAAUUAAUCAAUUUUUUUUCAAAUAUCAAAUCUCUUAAGAUUCCUUUUAACAAUCAAAAUCAUAAAUGGAAGACCUUGUUCUUUUUGUUUUAAUGACCUUUUAUUUUUUUCUUAAACAAACUUUUUCAAAACCCAAUAUAUCAAAAACAUAGGGACGGAUUUUCACAAAAGUAUCAAAGAUAAAAGUCAGUAUCUAAAGCUAUGCAUACGUAUCUUUUCGCAUAUGACGUCACUUUCGUUCGUCAACAUUGCUCAAUGUAGUUUCUUUCAAAAAGUAAUUUUGUCAAGUAAAUGUUUAGAGAAUACUUAAAGAUAAAAACUUAAAAUUUU